UUAAGAACGAUGGCAGCAGUUGGCAUUUAUUGCUACAAAUUUCACUCUUAGAACUGCUUUUGCUGCUUUCCAUAUGUUUUGGGAUGGGAUCUUACUCAGUAACCAAGGCUGAGGUGCAGUGGCAUGAUCAUAACUCACUGUAACCUGAACUCCUGUCCUCAAGUGAUCCUCCUGCCUCAACCUCCUGAGUAGCUCAGACUACAGGUGUGCUCCACCAAGCCCAGAUAAUGUUUUUAAAAACUUUUGUGGAGAUAGCAUUUCACAAUGAUGCCUAGGACACUCUCAAACUUCUGGCCUUGAGUAAUCCUCCUAUCUUAGCCUUCCAAUGGACUGGAAUUAAAGGUGUAAACCACUGCUCCUAGCCUCAAUUUAAGAUUUCUUGAUUCCUAGGUUUUCAAUAAAAUUUAAAGUUACUGAGAGUUAAAAUUUUUAAUUCUCAGUGUAAAAAAUGUGCAAAUAUUAUCAAAAAGGCAUAAAGUGUGCUUGAAUAAUUUUGUGUAAUUCAGUUUUUUUAAAAGAUUCUUUCAAAAUAUAGAUUUAGGAAUAAAAUAUAAAACAAAAUAGAAAAUAGGAAGUAGAAGAGAGAGAUAUAAAAAAGGUAUAGAUAUGAAGAUAUAUUUCUGGUAAGAAAGUUUAAAAAAUAUAAAUAACUUUAUAUGAGAAGGAAUCUUGUAUGGUAAAUUUUUGUCAUAAAGUAAAAUGACUGGUUAUUUCAGGAACAGAAAGUAUAGGAUAAAGUCGAAAUUCAAGCAUGUUGCAAAUAGUUUGUGUAACUUCUGUGUAAUAAGUUUUGUGAAAAGGAAAGUUAUAAAAAUUUUUUGUGUAUAGUUAAGUUUGCUAUAAUUAAAAGAAAAUUAUUUCUAAAGAUUGAACUUUGACAUUAAAAUACACUAACAUAAAACUGGAAAUUUUCAUUUGCUAUAUUAAAACAACAAGGUUUUUAAACUCUUGAUCUGCUCUUGUUAACAUUGCAAGAAGUUUUGAUAUUUAAUUCUGUAAUCCAUUUUUUUAAAACUUCUCAGAUUUGUAUAUCAGAAGUUAGACUUUUGCUGUACCUUAUUGCAUGGGAUUUGUAAGUCAUACGUGAUUACCUCCUGAUAGAGUUUGGAUGAUUGUCCCUACAAAUCUCAUAUUGGAAUGUAAUUCCCAGUGUUAGAGGUGGGACCUGGUGGGAAGUGUUUGGGUCAUGAAUGUGUUGGUGCUCUUCCUGUGGUGAUGAGUUACUGUGAGAUCUGGUUGUUAAAAAGAGUCUGGGAUCUCUCCCUUCUCUCUUACUCCCUCUGUCACUAUAUGACAUGGUGGCUCCCCCUUUUCCUUCUGCCAUAUUUGUAAGCUUCCUGAGGCCUCCCUAGAAGCAGAUGCUGGUGCAAUGCUUCUCAUACAGCCUGCAGAAACCCUGGGCCGAAUAAACCUCUUUUCUUUAUAAAUUGCCCAGUCUCAGGUAUUCCUUUACAGCAAUGCAAAGUGGACUAAUACACCUUCUGUUCUUUCUUCUCUUGAAUAGGUAUAUCUUUUUGCUUGGCUGGGAUGAUAACUCUGUCCUUCAACCUUUUCAUUGACUUAUAACUUCUUUCCUCAUUUCAGACAUGGCUGUUGUGGCCUGAUGCUGCAGUGUUUAUCUUGAAGUCUAAAGAAGCAAUGUGUUCCUCCAGUGUAACUUGAUUCUGUACUCCAGGCAUUUCUUGAUGUAUCUGAAUUGUUCAAUGUAAUCAGAAAACUUCUCAUGUUUUUACUAAGAGCCAUGUAUUCCCCUGCUCAAGGGUUGACUUCCUGGUUAUCUACAUAGACUUUGCAUAAGGAGAAGAAAUCACACAACAGUAGGUUUUUAUUUAUUUAUUUGAUAGGUGGCUGAAAAAAACACAGAUUUUACAUUUUACCAAGAUAAUUUCUUUUUCUUUUUCUUUUUUUGGAAACAGAGUCACCCAUGCUGGAGUACAGUGGUGUUAUCUCAGCUCAUUGCAACCUCUGCCUCCUGGGGCUUCAACAAUCCUCCCACCUCAGCCUCCUGAAUAGCUGGGACACCUGGCUAAUUUUUGUAUUUUUUUGUAGAGCUGGGGCUUUGCCAUGUUGCCUAGGCUGGUUUUGAACUCUGGGCUCAAGUGAUCCACCCCCUUCAGUUUCCCAAAGUGCUGGGAUUAUCGGCUUGAGCCACCACACCUGGCCUUCACAUUGUCUUUAUUACAUUUUUGACUUCUUAGAAAACUGAGUUUUAAAAUGUUCACUUUUUUUUUCUUUUUUUUCCCAUCAAUAUGACUUUCUAUACUGCUUUUGAGGUCUUUUGAUUAUCACCUUGGUUAAAUGAAUAACUUUUAUUUUGCAAUAACCUUUGAUUCUGGUUAGACCAAGUGUUUUAAACUUUUGACAUCUGUGAUAAGUUCCCUUACGGUUCAAAUCCUAAAUUAAGUCUUUUUGAACUAAAUAAUUAUACUUUUUUUGUAAAUUGUAUCAGAGGCAUUGUCAAAUGACAAAUGAUAAUAGAUCUUCUUUCAGUUAGAUUUAUGUGUAUGUUAUUGAUACAAAUAUUCCAAAAAUUACAUAAGGCUGGGGACAGUAGCUCAUACUUAUAAUACCAGUGCUUUGGGAGGCCAAAGUGGGAGAAUCACUCGAGGCCAGAAGUUUGAGACCAGCCUGAGCAACAUGUUUUCUGUCUCUACAGAAAACAAAGUAGCUAAGCAUGGUGGCAUGUGCCUGUAGUCCUAGGUACUUGGGAGGCUGAGGCAAGAGGAUCCCUUAAGCCCAGGAGUUUGAGUUUACAGUAAGCUAUCAUCAUGCCACUGCAGUCCAGCCUGGUUGACACAGCAAGACUUUAAUAUAUAUACAUUCUCUCUCUCUCUCUCUCUCUAUAUAUAUAUAUAUCUAUGUGUGUGUAUAUAUAUAUAUAUAGUGUGUGUAUAUAUAUAUAGUGUGUAUAUAUAUAGUGUGUAUAUAUAGUGUGUAUAU
Molecule: long non-coding RNA, 2940 nt
Filed under: Homo sapiens (human)
Lineage: Eukaryota; Metazoa; Chordata; Mammalia; Primates; Hominidae
Description: HSALNT0226079
Source: RNAcentral